CCUACGGGGGGCAGCAGUGAGGAAUAUUGGUCAAUGGCCGCAAGGCUGAACCAGCCAUGCCGCGUGCAGGAAGAAGGCUCUAUGAUUUGUAAACUGCUUUUGUAGGGGGGUAAAUGUAUAUACGUGUGGCUGUUUGCAUGUACCGUACGAAUAAGGAUCGGCUAACUCCGUGCCAGCAGCCGCGGUAAUACGGAGGAUGCGAGCGUUAUCCGGAUUUAUUGGGUUUAAAGGGUGCGUAGGCUGUUUGUUAAGUUAGAGGUGAAAGCUCGGGGCUCAACCUGGGAAUUGCCGUUGAAACUGUAAGACUUGAGUGUGGUUGAGGUAGGCGGAAUGCGUGGUGUAGCGGUGAAAUGCAUAGAGAUCACGCAGAACACCGAUUGCGAAGGCAGCUUACUAAGCUACAACUGACGCUGAGGCACGAAAGCGUGGGGAGCAAACAGGAUUAGAUACCCUUGUAGUC
Molecule: ribosomal RNA, 460 nt
Filed under: uncultured bacterium
Lineage: Bacteria
Description: partial 16S ribosomal RNA
Rfam family: Bacterial small subunit ribosomal RNA
Source: RNAcentral